This 253-nucleotide ribosomal RNA is filed under the name uncultured bacterium. RNAcentral describes it as "partial 16S ribosomal RNA". It matches the Rfam family "Bacterial small subunit ribosomal RNA", at positions 524 to 776 of the family's 1533-position model. The record is from RNAcentral.
UACGUAGGGGGCUAGCGUUGUCCGGAUUUAUUGGGCGUAAAGAGCGUGUAGGCGGCCAGAUAGGUCUGCUGUGAAAACUCGAGGCUCAACCUCGAGCUGUCGGCGGAAACCAUCUGGCUAGAGUCCGGAAGAGGAGAGUGGAACUCCCGGUGUAGCGGUGAAAUGCGCAGAUAUCGGGAAGAACACCGGUGGCGAAGGCGGGUCUCUGGACAGUUCCUGACGCUGAGGCACGAAGGUCAGGGGAGCAAACGGG